This 2177-nucleotide long non-coding RNA is filed under the name Chrysemys picta bellii (western painted turtle). RNAcentral's name for it is "lncRNA (ENSCPBG00000016143.1)". The record is from RNAcentral. Lineage: Eukaryota; Metazoa; Chordata; Testudines; Emydidae.
CUUUCCCCCAGCCAACUCUGCACUACCCUCCCUGUUUCCUCCCCCCCCCGGCAGUCUCAGUGGUACAUUCCGCGUCGCAGUUGCCUUGGGAACAGCUACGCCUGUCGCUAUGCGCACGGCAGUGCUGCAGCGCCAGCAGGUGUGGGUGAGGGGAGCCCGCGCGAGCCGCUCCUCCGGCCCGCAACCACUGCUGCCGGAGCGGGAGACGCCCCUUCCCCGCCACUCAGCUCGGGGACAGGGAGGCAGCGGCGGCCGGAGCCCAGGCCGUGGGGGAGCAGGUGCCUGGCUCUCGGGCGCGGGCGGGGCCCCUGGGAGGGGAAUGGCGAUGGGGAGUCAACGGACCCCAGCAGAUCUCAGGGGCGGGGGAGCAUUGGAGCAGAUUGGGGAUGCGGGGGUGGGCGCAUUGACACAGGCCCCGGGAGGGGACCGGAGAUGGGGUAGGCAAUGGGCUUCAGCAGAUCCCUGUAUGGGAGCAGGUUGUGGGGGAGGGGGAAUAUGGAUGGUUGGUUUCCGGCAGCCCCCCCCCCGCGGGGGGAAUUGGUGCAAGGUGCUGGGAGGGGAAUGGAGAUGGGGUAGGCAAUGGGCUUCAGCAGAUCCCUGUAUGGGAGCAUGGGAGCAGGUUGUGGGGGAGGGGGAAUAUGGAUGGUUGGUUUCCAGCAGCCCCUGGGGGAGUGGGGGGGGGGGAAUGGAGAUGGGGUGGGCAUUAGAGUCCCUAGGGAUGUACCCUAGAGACAGUCCUACACAUAUAUAUGGAAACACACCCUUUAUGGAGGUACAGCUGCACACUAUUUAUAGUAUUUUUCCUUGUUGCUGUGUAAAUCACCUACAGUGCUGUAUGCAUUAUGGAUAGAGAAACAUGAGACUUUUAAUAAGUCUAACUCAUGAUUCAGGUUAUGUUGUAGCUCUGUAAAAGUUCAUUGAAAUUCUCCCUCCUGUCUCUCUAUAGCUAAUCCGAGGAGCAAUCACACCUGUGAACCUUACGUAGCUGAGAGAAGAGUUAGUUUUAAUGAAAUUGCUAAAGGCAAGAGUUUAAUUUGCUUGAGGUUUUGAAUUUCUAAGAAUUAGGCAGAGGAAGUUCAAGGGCCCUCUCUCGGGAAGUCUUUAGAGCAAGUGCAGGUGCCUGAAAGCGUCUUAAUGUUAGAAAUACAGUAGAACAGCAGAGUUAAGAACACCAGCGUUACAAACUACCCAGUCAACCACACACCUUAUCUGGAACCGGAAGUAUGUAGUCAGAUUGCAGAGAUUGGGGGGGGGGAGGGUAGCAAAUACUAUACAAUACAGUAUUGUGUUAAACAUAAACUACUAAGAAAAAAGGAAAGUCUUAAAAGAGUAAGGAAACGUUUUGUGUUUGUUUAAUUUAAAUUAAGAUGGUUAAAAGCAGCAUGUUUCUUGUGCAUAGUAAAGUUUCAAAGCUGAAUUAAGUCAAUGUUCAUUUGUAAACUUUGGAAAGAACAACCAUAACAUUUUGUUCAGAAUUAUGAAGAACCUCCAGUCCUGUGGUGUUUGUAACUCUGAGGUUCUACUGUAUGGGGAAUCCUGCAUCCUUGUUAGAGCCCAUACUUUCCCUGAUUUAUACCCCAACUCCACUCAAGGUCAAAAGAUCAAAACUUGACAUCCAAUCCAGGUCUCUGUAUGGUAUACUCAAGCAUUAGUUCUGACUCAUUUAGAAUUGCCAUCUGUUCUGCUUCUGAUAGAACAGGCUUGUAGCAGACAUGAAAAGAAUAACAAAGUAAAUAAUUGUAAAGUGAAAUCAUAUUUUUCCCCCAAAAUAAGUUAAAUGUUGUGUGUCUGAUUAUCUUUUUGAACAACCUGACAGCAACAGGUCAUUAGUGUCUUGUUCUAAGGUCACUUGCUAAAGGUAAAGAGAAUUGUUUUGAAAAUUCUACUUUUACAUAAAGUGCUUCAGAUUAUGUACUUUUGCUUUUUGCCUUCCAUUGUUGUACUGUGAUAUAAUGACCUAUGUACAGACAGAAAGCAUAAUAAUUUAUUACAGGCUUUCAUCAAAGAAAAUGGUCAAAGCAGUAUGAUUCAUGUAUACCAUCUUCCUCUCUUUCUAAUGUAAGAAAAUGACUGAUAUGCUAUGGCUUGAUAAACAGUCUUAUUAAGAGGAAACUUUGCUAGUUGCAGUCAAUGACAUGAAAAUGGCUGAUAAAUAAAAUUUAUUGAUUUAAUUUGCA